The sequence is a ribosomal RNA, 657 nucleotides long. It matches the Rfam family "Bacterial small subunit ribosomal RNA", at positions 558 to 1213 of the family's 1533-position model.
GCGUAAGCGCGCGUAGGUGGCUUGAUAAGCCGGUUGUGAAAGCCCCGGGCUCAACCUGGGAACGGCAUCCGGAACUGUCAAGCUAGAGUGCAGGAGAGGAAGGUAGAAUUCCCGGUGUAGCGGUGAAAUGCGUAGAGAUCGGGAGGAAUACCAGUGGCGAAGGCGGCCUUCUGGACUGACACUGACACUGAGGUGCGAAAGCGUGGGUAGCAAACAGGAUUAGAUACCCUGGUAGUCCACGCCGUAAACGAAUGUCGACCAGCCGUUGGGUGCCUAGCGCACUUUGUGGCGAAGUUAACGCGAUAAGUCGACCGCCUGGGGAGUACGGCCGCAAGGUUAAAACUCAAAUGAAUUGACGGGGGCCCGCACAAGCGGUGGAGCAUGUGGUUUAAUUCGAUGCAACGCGAAGAACCUUACCUACUCUUGACAUCCUGCGAACUUGUGAGAGAUCACUUGGUGCCUUCGGGAACGCAGAGACAGGUGCUGCAUGGCUGUCGUCAGCUCGUGUUGUGAAAUGUUGGGUUAAGUCCCGUAACGAGCGCAACCCUUGUCCUUAUUUGCCAGCGCGUAAUGGCGGGAACUCUAAAGGAGACUGCCGGUGACAAACCGGAGGAAGGUGGGGACGACGUCAAGUCAUCAUGGCCCUUACGAGUAGGG